Molecule: long non-coding RNA, 461 nt
Organism: Dendronephthya gigantea
Lineage: Eukaryota; Metazoa; Cnidaria; Anthozoa; Malacalcyonacea; Nephtheidae
Exons: 3
Source: RefSeq, a predicted model, not a curated record
GGACGCGAUGGUCGUGAUGCUGGCUUACGCGGACCUCCUGGAAGACGUGGACCAGCUGGACCUCGAGGUGAAAAGGGGGAAGCUGCAGGAUCAGGAGGGGGAACUGUGUACACACGAUGGGGAAGAAAACAUUGUCCACAGAUCUCUGGAAAUAAUGAAUUAUAUUCAGGUGUGAUGGCUGGAACACAUUAUAGCCAUAAGGGUGGUGCAUCAAACUAUCUUUGUCUACCAUUGAAUCCAAUAUUUGACAAAGUUAAGGCUGGUAAUCAAGGAGGGAGUUAUAUUUAUGGCACCGAGUACGAGACACAUGCUUAUCCUAACGUAUUUCCGCGAAACAUCGCUAAUCACGAUGCUCCCUGCGCAGUCUGUCACACCGAGUCACGUGGUAGUCACGUGAUGAUACCAGCUCGUAAUGUCUGUCCCUCAGGCUGGACCUUGGAGUAUAAAGGAUAUAUCAUGUC